GUACAGACUAGCCAGGCGUUCGUUAAAGCGAGUGGCGUCUUCUGUCUCGUCCUUUCAGCCCUGUUUUUCAGAAGCUGAGACUGUGCAGAUAACGGUGGCUGAUGAAGUGGCUGCUGAAGUCAUCAACAGUACCAUGAGCAUCUGUCUGGAGGGGUCUGAAGAGAAACCUCUGGUGAGCUCCAACCCUGACACAGGUAAAGUCAUCAGAGAGCUCCUGGACAUCCUAUUUGAUGAUGCCCUGUCGGCGAGUCUCCAUCUUCUGGGCAGAAAAUGAGCUUAUGGACACCAACCUGGAUCAUCUAGUGAGCUGCAACAAAGAUGCAGCUGAUGCCAUCAGAGAGCUCCUGGAGAUCAUGCUUCAUGAUGUUUUGUCAGCGAGUUUCCAGCCUCUGGAAGACGAUCAGGUGCUGAAGAUGUCUGACAGUGAAGCCAAUGACGAGCAAACGCACCCUGACCUGGAGAAGUCAGAGCCCACCAAUAUCCAUCCUCUGGCAGGAGAUGAGUGGCCGAAGCUGAAGGACCAUGUAGCUGAGGAAC
This is a long non-coding RNA of Pygocentrus nattereri (red-bellied piranha), 537 nucleotides long. NCBI's taxonomy places the organism in Eukaryota, Metazoa, Chordata, Actinopteri, Characiformes, Serrasalmidae. The record is from Ensembl.